RNAcentral lists this long non-coding RNA (551 nucleotides) under Bos indicus x Bos taurus (hybrid cattle). RNAcentral describes it as "lncRNA (ENSBIXG00005031027.1)". The record is from RNAcentral. Lineage: Eukaryota; Metazoa; Chordata; Mammalia; Artiodactyla; Bovidae.
UCAAGAGAGAAGAGAAUUUCAGGAGGAAGGCAGUGGUUAAUACUGCCAACUGACACAAAUAGGUCAGCUAAGGUUUUCAUGCAAAGGAAAAAAAAAAGCAUUUGAUUUAGCAACUUGGGGGUGGAGUGUGAGGGUGGUGUUCCAGUUUUGCCAGAGCCCCUUGAGUAGAGUUGUUAGGGUUGGAAUCCAGAUUGCAGUCUGUGGAAGAGUAGACAGGAGGCUACGCUGCCUCUCCAGGCGGGAGGACUUGGGGAUCUGCAGAGAAGGGAGCCUUUGCAGGUGUAGUGCUGAAGACCCGUUUACCAGGUAGGUGUCCUGUCUUCCUGACUUCCAGUGUGGCCCUGUCUCCUCCUUCAGUCUCUCUGUGAGGUCACCCUUGGGCCUUGCUUCAGCCCCACUUUGCGUCUACCUAUUCUUCCCUUGGGUCUUUAUUGAUAAGUAUCUCUUUCAUCAUCUGGCUGCCAAAAUGACAAGAAACAUUCCCCCUCUCCUUAGCCCUGAAUUCCCGACUCAGAUGGUCCAACACUCAUUUGCUUCACCAGCUGCCGUCU